GAUGAACGCUAGCUACAGGCUUAACACAUGCAAGUCGAGGGGUAACGAGAGGAAAGCUUGCUUUCCUUGUCGACGACCGGCGCACGGGUGAGUAACGCGUAUCCAACCUGCCCCCAACUAAGGAAUAACCUUGCGAAAGUAAGACUAAUACCUUAUAAUUUCCUCAGAUGUCAUCUGACGAGGAAUAAAGAUUUAUCGGUUGUGGAUGGGGAUGCGUCUGAUUAGCUUGUUGGCGGGGUAACGGCCCACCAAGGCAACGAUCAGUAGGGGUUCUGAGAGGAAGGUCCCCCACAUUGGAACUGAGAAACGGUCCAAACGCCUACGGGAGGCAGCAGUGAGGAAUAUUGGUCAAUGGGCGGAAGCCUGAACCAGCCAAGUAGCGUGCAGGAUGACGGCCCUAUGGGUUGUAAACUGCUUUUAUACAGGAAUAAAGUUAGCCACGUGUGGUUAUUUGUAGGUACUGUAUGAAUAAGGACCGGCUAAUUCCGUGCCAGCCGCCGCCGUAA
RNAcentral lists this ribosomal RNA (506 nucleotides) under uncultured bacterium. Its description in RNAcentral is "partial 16S ribosomal RNA". It matches the Rfam family "Bacterial small subunit ribosomal RNA", at positions 28 to 523 of the family's 1533-position model. The record is from RNAcentral.